Molecule: ribosomal RNA, 332 nt
Filed under: uncultured bacterium
Lineage: Bacteria
Description: bacterial SSU rRNA
Rfam family: Bacterial small subunit ribosomal RNA
Source: RNAcentral
CGCGUAGGUGGUUCGAUGAGUCGGAGGUGAAAUCCCUCGGCUUAACCGAGGACCCGCGUCCGAUACUGUCGAACUUGAGUGCAGGAGAGGAGAGCGGAAUUCCCAGUGUAGCGGUGAAAUGCGUAGAUAUUGGGAGGAACACCGGUGGCGAAGGCGGCUCUCUGGACUGUUACUGACACUGAGGCGCGAAAGCUAGGGGAGCAAACGGGAUUAGAUACCCCGGUAGUCCUAGCCGUAAACGAUGGGCACUAGGUGUGGGAGGUAUCGACCCCUUCCGUGCCGCAGCUAACGCAUUAAGUGCCCCGCCUGGGGAGUACGGCCGCAAGGUUGAA